Molecule: long non-coding RNA, 326 nt
Organism: Lingula anatina
Lineage: Eukaryota; Metazoa; Brachiopoda; Lingulata; Lingulida; Lingulidae
Source: RefSeq, a predicted model, not a curated record
CUUCAACGUGGAAAGUUGUGAGCAAGAUCUAAACUAUACCUGUGUAUAUUGGGUUGACGGUGGAGAGCAGAUGACCUUCACGACAUGCCAUAAUGGAUUGUGUUACGACACCUACAAACAGCAGCUGCCGUAUGAGGACGCUGUGAACACGUGUUUGUACAAUUACGCCUCUCUGUUGUCAUUGAGCAAGACAGAACAAAAGUGGCUAAGGACAUACUUCAGAAACUUUUACGGAAAUAUGACACUGUGGGCGGGAUGGAAAUCGAUUGUCUCAGUGAAUGGUACCUAUGACAUCGUUCCAUCAGAUACAUCGAGUAAUGUCAAUG